RNAcentral lists this ribosomal RNA (800 nucleotides) under Haemophilus influenzae. RNAcentral describes it as "partial 23S ribosomal RNA". It matches the Rfam family "Bacterial large subunit ribosomal RNA", at positions 1286 to 2070 of the family's 2925-position model. Lineage: Bacteria; Pseudomonadati; Pseudomonadota; Gammaproteobacteria; Pasteurellales; Pasteurellaceae. The record is from RNAcentral.
AAGUGCGAAUGCUGACAUAAGUAACGAUAAAACGGGUGAAAAACCCGUUCGCCGGAAGACCAAGGGUUCCUGUCCAACGUUAAUCGGGGCAGGGUGAGUCGGCUCCUAAGGCGAGGCUGAAAAGCGUAGUCGAUGGGAAACAGGUUAAUAUUCCUGUACUUGGUAAAGCUGCGAUGUGGGGACGGAGUAGGUUAGGUUAUCGCACUGUUGGAUAUGUGCGUUUAAGUUGGUAGGUGGGAAGUUUAGGCAAAUCCGGGCUUCCUUAACACAGAGAGAUGAUGACGAGGCUCUACGGAGCUGAAGUAACUGAUACCACACUUCCAGGAAAAGCCACUAAGCGAAAGGCUUUACUAAACCGUACUGAAAACCGACACAGGUGGUCAGGUAGAGAAUACUCAGGCGCUUGAGAGAACUCGGGUGAAGGAACUAGGCAAAAUAGCACCGUAACUUCGGGAGAAGGUGCGCCGGCGUAGAUUGUAAGGGCUAGCCCCUGAAGGUUGAACCGGUCGAAGAUACCAGCUGGCUGCAACUGUUUAUUAAAAACACAGCACUCUGCAAACACGAAAGUGGACGUAUAGGGUGUGAUGCCUGCCCGGUGCUGGAAGGUUAAUUGAUGGUGUAAUCGCAAGAGAAGCACCUGAUCGAAGCCCCAGUAAACGGCGGCCGUAACUAUAACGGUCCUAAGGUAGCGAAAUUCCUUGUCGGGUAAGUUCCGACCUGCACGAAUGGCAUAAUGAUGGCCAGGCUGUCUCCACCCGAGACUCAGUGAAAUUGAAAUCGCCGUGAAGAUGCGGUGUACC